UGGCAAAGCUAGGCUAGGUCUUGGAGGCUGGUGUAAGGCGAUGCGGGUGAAGGCAGGAGGCUGAUGGAGAGACUGGGGGGAAGAAAAGCCGAAAUGGAUUCACGGUGCCUUGGAUGAAGGACGAGAGGGGAACUGCAAGCUCCUUCAACUGGUUCUGUCCGGUGAGAAGUGAUCAAGCUUGGGCUGACAAGAGGCUCAGGGAGCCCUCACGUUCUUUCGCUUUUUUACCUGCCAAUCAAACUGCUACAAGACAACACCCUGAUCUGGCAUGGACAU
Molecule: unclassified non-coding RNA, 276 nt
Organism: Pan troglodytes (chimpanzee)
Lineage: Eukaryota; Metazoa; Chordata; Mammalia; Primates; Hominidae
Source: Ensembl